Molecule: ribosomal RNA, 120 nt
Filed under: Streptomyces nitrosporeus
Lineage: Bacteria; Bacillati; Actinomycetota; Actinomycetes; Kitasatosporales; Streptomycetaceae
Description: partial 16S rRNA
Rfam family: Bacterial small subunit ribosomal RNA
Source: RNAcentral
UCUAAUACCGGAUAAUACNCUGUCCCGCAUGGGACGGGGUUGAAAGCUCCGGCGGUGAAGGAUGAGCCCGCGGCCUAUCAGCUUGUUGGUGGGGUGAUGGCCUACCAAGGCGACGACGGG